This 547-nucleotide unclassified non-coding RNA is filed under the name Hevea brasiliensis (rubber tree). The record is from RNAcentral. Lineage: Eukaryota; Viridiplantae; Streptophyta; Magnoliopsida; Malpighiales; Euphorbiaceae.
AAAGAAUAAAAAAAAAAAAAUGUUACGGCUUAUGAGAAUUGAAGAACUUGAAUCUAAAAAAUGUAAUAGGGAAGCAUUUGAUAAAAAAGUUAGGUGGAUAUAUAUAAUUAUAAUGUGUGUUGUAAUGUGUGUGGUGUUUAGUUUAGGGAAGGAAAUUGACAAUAGGCCUAUGUAUCUGAACUAAUAUGUGUAAAUUGAAUAGAAGUUGUUGUUAAUGAACAUGCUUGUGUUGGUGGAUAUAAUAUGGGUAAAUUAUUGAGUUAUGAUAUAAUGUGGGUUAAUUAAACUUGAAUGCAACUGAUGUAUACUAAUAUGCAAAUUAAGGUGUAAUGGAAAAAACCUUAAUAGCAAUAAAGCUUAUUGUACACAAGAAUAAGUUCAUAAAAUACAAACUUAAAAUUUGACAAACUGCUACAAUAGUGUCUAGUAUAACUAAUCUGAACAUCAAUUUGAGUCAACAUAUAAUUCAAAUUGAUAUCAUUUCAACAACUAGAAAAUCCUUGUAUUACACAGCAACUAGUUCAUAAACAAAAAAAAAAAUGGCCUA